CACGUAGGGUGCGAGCGUUGUCCGGAAUUAUUGGGCGUAAAGAGCUCGUAGGCGGUGUGUCGCGUCGGCCGUGAAAACCUGGGGCUUAACUCUGGGCGUGCGGUCGAUACGGGCAUCACUGGAGUUCAGCAGGGGAGACUGGAAUUCCUGGUGUAGCGGUGAAAUGCGCAGAUAUCAGGAGGAACACCGGUGGCGAAGGCGGGUCUCUGGGCCGAUACUGACGCUGAGGAGCGAAAGCGUGGGGAGCGAACAGG
Molecule: ribosomal RNA, 254 nt
Filed under: uncultured bacterium
Lineage: Bacteria
Description: partial 16S ribosomal RNA
Rfam family: Bacterial small subunit ribosomal RNA
Source: RNAcentral